GACGUAGGGUGCGAGCGUUGUCCGGAUUUAUUGGGCGUAAAGAGCUCGUAGGCGGCUCGUCGCGUCAGCUGUGAAAACCCGCGGCUUAACCGUGGGCUUGCAGCUGAUACGGGCGGGCUAGAGUUCGGUAGGGGAGACUGGAAUUCCUGGUGUAGCGGUGAAAUGCGCAGAUAUCAGGAGGAACACCGGUGGCGAAGGCGGAUCUCUGGGCCAUUACUGACGCUGAGGAGCGAAAGCGUGGGGAGCGAACAGG
RNAcentral lists this ribosomal RNA (253 nucleotides) under uncultured bacterium. RNAcentral describes it as "partial 16S ribosomal RNA". It matches the Rfam family "Bacterial small subunit ribosomal RNA", at positions 524 to 776 of the family's 1533-position model. The record is from RNAcentral.